This 495-nucleotide ribosomal RNA is filed under the name uncultured bacterium. Its description in RNAcentral is "bacterial SSU rRNA". It matches the Rfam family "Bacterial small subunit ribosomal RNA", at positions 346 to 858 of the family's 1533-position model. The record is from RNAcentral.
AGGCAGCAGUGGGGAAUAUUGGACAAUGGGGGCAACCCUGAUCCAGCAAUGCCGCGUGAGUGAUGAAGGCCUUAGGGUUGUAAAGCUCUUUCGGCGGGGACGAUGAUGACGGUACCCGCAGAAGAAGCCCCGGCUAACUUCGUGCCAGCAGCCGCGGUAAUACGAAGGGGGCAAGCGUUGUUCGGAAUCACUGGGCGUAAAGGGCGCGCAGGCGGUCCUUCAAGUCAGAUGUGAAAGCCCCGGGCUCAACCUGGGAAUUGCAUUUGAGACUGGAGGACUGGAGGACGGGAGAGGAGAGUGGAAUUCCCAGUGUAGAGGUGAAAUUCGUAGAUAUUGGGAAGAACACCAAUGGCGAAGGCAGCUCUCUGGACCGUACCUGACGCUGAGGCGCGAAAGCGUGGGGAGCAAACAGGAUUAGAUACCCUGGUAGUCCACGCCGUAAACGAUGUGUGCUAGACGUUGGGAGACCUAGUCUCCCUGUGUCGCAGCUAACGC